Molecule: ribosomal RNA, 733 nt
Filed under: uncultured Gammaproteobacteria bacterium
Lineage: Bacteria; Pseudomonadati; Pseudomonadota; Gammaproteobacteria
Description: bacterial SSU rRNA
Rfam family: Bacterial small subunit ribosomal RNA
Source: RNAcentral
AACAGGAUUAGAUACCCUGGUAGUCCACGCCGUAAACGAUGUCGACUUGGAGGUUGUGCCCUUGAGGCGUGGCUUCCGGAGCUAACGCGUUAAGUCGACCGCCUGGGGAGUACGGCCGCAAGGUUAAAACUCAAAUGAAUUGACGGGGGCCCGCACAAGCGGUGGAGCAUGUGGUUUAAUUCGAUGCAACGCGAAGAACCUUACCUACUCUUGACAUCCAGAGAACUUUCCAGAGAUGCUUUGGUGCCUUCGGGAACUCUGAGACAGGUGCUGCAUGGCUGUCGUCAGCUCGUGUUGUGAAAUGUUGGGUUAAGUCCCGCAACGAGCGCAACCCUUAUCCUUUGUUGCCAGCGGUUCGGCCGGGAACUCAAAGGAGACUGCCAGUGAUAAACUGGAGGAAGGUGGGGAUGACGUCAAGUCAUCAUGGCCCUUACGAGUAGGGCUACACACGUGCUACAAUGGCGCAUACAAAAAGAAUCGACCUCGCGAGAGCAAGCGGACCUCAUAAAGUGCGUCGUAAUCCGGAUUGGAGUCUGCAACUCGACUCCAUGAAGUCGGAAUCGCUAGUAAUCGUAGAUCAGAAUGCUACCGUGAAUACGUUCCCGGGCCUUGUACACACCGCCCGUCACACCAUGGGAGUGGGUUGCAAAAGAAGUAAGUAGCUUAACCUUCGGGAGGGCGCUUACCACUUUGUGAUUCAUGACUGGGGUGAAGUCGUAACAAGGUAGCCGUA